RNAcentral lists this long non-coding RNA (2546 nucleotides) under Marmota monax (woodchuck). Lineage: Eukaryota; Metazoa; Chordata; Mammalia; Rodentia; Sciuridae. The record is from RNAcentral.
GUGAGGCGACGGGCUCCGGGGUCCCCCACGCACGGCCACCCCUCCCAGCCACCAUCUGGCGCGAGCGGGUUGGCGUGGGGAACCGAAGUGGGGCGGGGGCCGGCAGAUGGGCCCAGGCUGCUCCGAGAGUUAAUGUAGGUUAUGGGCAGGCGGAGUCCCAGGCCCGAGGGAGGGGGAGCCCAGAGUGUGCCUCCCGGCAAUCCUGGCAAGUGGGCUUCCAGAUCCUCUCUCCGUGAAUACUCUAUGGCUCUCUAGACCUGCCUAGGAUGCCAGAAGGUGCUCCUCGCUCUUCUCUGAGCUGGCAUCCAGCCCCACCUAGCUCUGUCCGCUUCCAUUCCUAAAUCCUGGCCUGGGAGUUCAUAAAAACAUGAUCCUUUUUUUGGAUGUGGCACUUCCCUGACCCUCAAGAGAGACAUCCAUUUCCCCAGGAGGCAUCUCUAUCAAUACUGGCAGAUCUGGAACUUUCUCUAUCCUCUUAUACACCUGGACUAACAUCCCCAAAACGUUUUGCCCAUGGUCAAGGACCAAACAAAAGUUGGGAUCACUGCAAGGGAUUCUAGUGUUCUACAUAGUCUCUGAACCUGGAGGAAAACAGUAAAUUUUCCUCCUUACCAGAAACACCUGUUUGCAUGGGGCGCUGUCCAAAAGCUCACUACCUGGCCAGGACCCCAUCCUUAUCCCUGAGUACCUACUAUUACUCCAUUUUGCUGGGGUAGAAUUUUGCCCAAUUUGCUGAGCCGGAAAGGGUAACGCUGCAGGCAGGGAAUCCAAGUGAACGGGCCUGAAUGUUUCUGAACAGACACCCCAAUUCUGGAACACCUCACUUCCACACUCCAGCGGAAGGAUGAAAUUUGCAUUCUUGGGGCUCAAAAAAAGAGUAGGAAGCAGGGAAGCGAUAAAGAGGCCGCAGAUCACUUGGAUUGGGGACUCUUCGUCAGAGUCUACAGAUCCUAUGACUGAUGUAGACGCUUGACCACGCCCUGGAGAGUGGACUUCGACUUGGUUCAGACCAACCUGGGCUCCCACUAACUGCGAGUCUUUCUCGGAUCCACAGUUCCUCAAUCUCGACCCUGCCCAGCGUCGGAAGCCAGACCAGGGUGGAAGCCUGACUUCACACUGAGGACCACAGCCCCCGCCCCAAGAGGUCUUCUACUUUGCGGUCCUUUCAGUUUGGCUAUUGUGCUACCACUACACAUCAUUCCCGCAGCAGGCAGAACUAGCACCUGGAGCCAGGAAACACCAAGGUUGCCUUCCGCAGUGCACUCAGACUGACCCCGGGUCACUGGAGUACGUCCGGAGCCGGAGCCGUAAGUCUCUGCACUUCUUCCCAGCUGUGUGGCCUACAAGCCUUGCGCAGAGUCGUGGCCGCAGCUCCGAGUUCUCUAGUAGUUUUACCCCUCAUCCCACCUCCUCCAUUCCUCCCAGGGGACAGCGCUCUCGACCCGGCACACUGCAAAAGGGUAGAAACACAGUGGGGUCCCUGCCACAGAGCCCGAUGGGCAGGUUGGGGGCGGGGAAGCAGGCCUGGCUGGGGCGGAGCGCUUAAGCCUUGAGGGGCGCUGCUGUGGUGGAUGCGGAGAAGGGGCCACGUGCAGGGAGCGGCGGCCCGAGAGCUGCACAGAAGGCGGGGAGAUUUGCAAACUGUUGCUGCCACAUGGCUGCUCCAUUCGAUCCAUUCACAUUGAAAUGAGGCCGGCGCGUGCCUCAUCUGCCGCAGGGCGCUGCCACGCGUCAGCCCGACCCGCCGCGUGCCAACUGGGGCAGUGGGGCUGGCAAAGUCUGCCAGCCGUGGGGGCUCAGCCCAGGCCCUACAGCCAGGAGGGGGUAGGGGAAGGGCGUCGAGCUACCCUAGCCACUCAGGCGCCACUGAUUCUCGGACCUUGGCCCCGCAAUUGCGAUUGAGCCGGCAGAAAGGACUAGGACGGACGGUUUCAAAAGGGGGCCAGGAUCGAUGCCGCCGCUCCCCGCAGAUGCGCCCCGGCAGCGCUACUCUCCAUCUGCCGCUGCUCGCACCUGCCGGUCAAUAAAUCGAUUUUACAAUUUAAUGCAGCAGCUUCCCGCCCGCCUGGGACAGAUGCCGCCGCAGAACCACCUCCGCCUUCGCCCCUCCCCUCGAGGGGCGCCAGCGGUUAAGGACUGGAUUCCCGCUCAGCUGGCAGCGCCCUGCGGGGCUUAGUGCACCUCUCUUGGGAGCCCCUACAAGGAACUGCCCGCUCCGGGUUUUUCCCGCGGACAGAGUGGGUUCCCCAUAGGUCAGGCCUGAAGCUGGCCAAGGAGACCAAAUGAUGACUUGGCCGUGGCCUCGCUUGGGAAGGGGGGGCGGUUCAAGGAAGGAACAGGAUGCAGUGACUGAAGAUAAAAUGUGAGGGCCCCUGUGAGAAGGAAGGGGAGGGCCUUGGGCACUGAGGGACACUGAGUUCUGAAGAAUUUUAAGGGGGCUGAGCUGGGUGGAACACUGAGGUGGGAUGAGGGUUCUGCCUACCCUUUCUUGUCAGUCUGGUAAAUAAACAUGAUAGGGACUUGGCUCCCAGCACUUCCUAGCCAUG